AACUUUGGACAAUGGGGGAAACCCUGAUCCAGUCAGCCCGCGUGUAUGAUGAAGGCCUUCGGUUUGUAAAGUACUUUUCGCAGAGAAGAAAAUGUACCCCCUCAUACGGGAUCCGGCUGACUGAAUCUGCAGAAUAAGCACCGGCCAACUACCAGCCAGCAGCCCCGGUAAUACGUAGGGUGCAAGCGUUAAUCGGAAUUACUGGGCGUAAAGCGUGUGUAGGCGGUUCGGAAACAAAGAUGUGAAAUCCCAGGGCUCAACCUUGGAACUGCAUUUAUAACUGCCGAGCUAGAGUAUGUCAGAGGGGGGUAGAAUUCCACGUGUAGCAGUGAAAUGCGUAGAUAUGUGGAGGAAUACCGAUGGCGAAGGCAGCCCCCUGGGAUAAUACUGACGCUCAGACACGAACGCGUGGGGAGCAAACAGG
RNAcentral lists this ribosomal RNA (424 nucleotides) under uncultured bacterium. RNAcentral describes it as "partial 16S ribosomal RNA". It matches the Rfam family "Bacterial small subunit ribosomal RNA", at positions 360 to 776 of the family's 1533-position model. The record is from RNAcentral.